UACGGGGGGUGCGAGCGUUGUCCGGAAUCACUGGGCGUAAAGGGCGCGUAGGUGGUCUGGUAAGUUUGUGGUGAAAGCCCGGGGCUCAACCCCGGGUCUGCCAUGAAUACUGCUAGACUCGAGUACUGUAGAGGCUGGUAGAAUGCCGGGUGUAGCGGUGGAAUGCGUAGAGAUCCGGCGGAAGACCGGUGGCGAAGGCGGCCAGCUGGGCAGUUUCUGACACUGAUGCGCGACAGCGUGGGGAGCAAACAGG
This 253-nucleotide ribosomal RNA is filed under the name uncultured bacterium. RNAcentral describes it as "partial 16S ribosomal RNA". It matches the Rfam family "Bacterial small subunit ribosomal RNA", at positions 524 to 776 of the family's 1533-position model. The record is from RNAcentral.